GCCUAGGGAUUUCACUCCUACUGUUUCUUCGUUUUCCAUCAUCGAUUGAAAUUGAAUGCGAUCUUUUGGCAUUCGCCCACAUCUACCCUAUAACCUGAUUUCCGAUUUUGAAGGAACCCGAACCGAUUUGCAGUGGAAGAUGAACUUGCAACAUGGAGAGAUUCGGAGGCGGUGGUGGUGAUACUCUACAACUUGAUUCGAAUUCAUCAGGGAAGAGGAAGACAGUGUGAAGGUUGGCAUAAGUGAUACCAGCCAUGAUAGAUUUAAAUUAACGGCUAAACAAAUUGUAGGCGUGGAGCUUAGUAGAAUACGAAAGGGUCAUCAUGCUUGAAUGAAAAUCUUUUUCGUAUUUAUAUAUGGAGAUGUCUUUAAUGUCUGCACUCUGAAAUUAAAGAUGGAACGAGGAACCUUGGAAGGAAGUUGAAGAGUCAAUGACUUUUGCCAAGAGACACUGUAUUUUUCCCGCCUUCCCACUCAAAUCGUAAGAGCGUACUCGACACGUUGUUUAAAAUCCAUCAGAGCUCUAAUAAAUCAUUCCAGUUUGCGCUUUACCAAUCAAUGGAAUAUGUUUUACAGUGGCGAUUGGUACAAUUUGAUUUCUAAAAUGGAUCAACAUGCUUUGCGAUUGAAUUCACAAUUUAAGUGGCGAUUGGUAUGUAAGUGUAUUGUGAUUCGGUACAUCACGUACCCACACGUAAACCAACAGGACCCAAAACCUAUCAAGGAGAUCAAGAAGUUUGCACAAAAAGCCAUGGGAACCACAACCACUAACGUAAGAAUGGAAGUCAGAUUAAACAAAUACGUUUACAGCCGCGGAAUCAGAAAUGUAUCAAACACAUCGAGCUUCGUAUAGUUGAAGGGUUGACUAUAGUUCAGUCUCCACGUUUUUUAUAGGUCAACAUAGCAGCCGCCUCUAGAGCUUCAGCACAAAAUUUAUAUAAGUUUUAAGGC
This is a long non-coding RNA of Helianthus annuus (common sunflower), 951 nucleotides long. RefSeq lists it as uncharacterized. The transcript has 5 exons. The record is from RefSeq and is a predicted model, not a curated record. Lineage: Eukaryota; Viridiplantae; Streptophyta; Magnoliopsida; Asterales; Asteraceae.